Long non-coding RNA from Zophobas morio, 950 nucleotides. RefSeq lists it as uncharacterized. The transcript has 4 exons. The record is from RefSeq and is a predicted model, not a curated record. Lineage: Eukaryota; Metazoa; Arthropoda; Insecta; Coleoptera; Tenebrionidae.
AUUUUGCAAAAUUCUACGUCGUUAUUAUUAUUAUGAAUAACUUCUUUAUAUGUACGCAGUUACAAUUGGAGGUCGAACCAAUUUUGAGUAUUAUCGCAAAAAAAUAUACUUUUAUCAUAAUUGCAUGCACCGAGGAACUUAACACUGCACCUUGUGCAUAGAAAGUACCACUUCAUUAAAAACAUUUAACUAUGAACUAGUGGUAAAAACAGAUAAAAAUGCAAUUACAGUACUCACCUGACUCCUUUUUUUUUAAUAACCUGAUAACGCCGCCUAUAUAACACGCCAUGCAAGAAUUUCUUUCCAGUCGAAAUGAAGCUUCUUCUGAUUGCCGCUUUGGUCUUUUGCGCAGCUCUCCAAGCGGAGAGCGCAAAAGGUAAGUGCUACAGCUGUGGCAACGAUGACGACGAAAACAGUGGUUGAACCAGCCAAGACCAAAUGAAAGAAGUUGAGUGCACCAAGGGUGGUGCAACAUGCGUCCUCUUAUGGAACGGACGAAAAAAGGUUCGGCAAAUCCUGAUAACGCCGCCUAUAUAACACGCCAUGCAAGAAUUUCUCUCCAGUCGAAAUGAAGCUUCUUCUGAUUGCCGCUUUGGUCUUUUGCGCAGCUCUUCAAGGGGAGAGCGCAAAAGGUAAGUGCUACAGCUGUGGCAACGAUGACGACAAAAACAGUGCUUGCACUAGCCAAGACCAAAUGAAAGAAGUCGAGUGCAUAAAGGAUGAUCCAAUGUGCGUCCUCUAUGGAACGGACGAAAAAAAGUUCGCCAAAUGUAAUAAUGGCGUAAGCCGUGUCUGCCAACCGUACAAGGACAAGGGAAUGAAGUGCGGCAUAUGUAAGGGUCAUUUGUGCAACGAGUUUUCCAAAAAACUACCGGAAAACAUCGACCGCAAUUUCUAAUGACUAAUAAGUUGUUAGUUAUUCUGACAAUAAAUAUAAAGUUAAUAAAUUC